This 253-nucleotide ribosomal RNA is filed under the name uncultured bacterium. Its description in RNAcentral is "partial 16S ribosomal RNA". It matches the Rfam family "Bacterial small subunit ribosomal RNA", at positions 524 to 776 of the family's 1533-position model. The record is from RNAcentral.
UACGUAGGGUGCAAGCGUUGUCCGGAAUCAUUGGGCGUAAAGAGCGUGUAGGCGGCUCGAUCAGUCCGCUGUGAAAGUCCAGGGCUCAACCCUGGAAAGCCGGUGGAUACUGUCGGGCUAGAGUACGGAAGAGGCGAGUGGAAUUCCUGGUGUAGCGGUGAAAUGCGCAGAUAUCAGGAGGAACACCAAUGGCGAAGGCAGCUCGCUGGGACGAUACUGACGCUGAGACGCGAAAGCGUGGGGAGCAAACAGG